This 785-nucleotide ribosomal RNA is filed under the name uncultured bacterium. RNAcentral's name for it is "bacterial SSU rRNA". It matches the Rfam family "Bacterial small subunit ribosomal RNA", at positions 1 to 755 of the family's 1533-position model. The record is from RNAcentral.
UUAUCGCGCGAUCGCCUUGAGUUGAUCAUGGCUCAGAAUCAACGCUGGCGGCGUGCCUCAGACAUGCAAGUCGAACGCGAAAGCUCCCUUCGGGGAGCAAGUAGAGUGGCGCACGGGUGAGUAACACGUAGGUAAUCUACCUUUGGAUGGGGAAUAACAACCGGAAACGGUUGCUAAUACCGCAUAAUGCAGCGGCACCUAAUGGUGACAGUUGUUAAAGCGGGGGAUCGAAAGACCUCGCGUCUGAAGAGGAGCCUGCGGCAGAUUAGCUAGUUGGUAAGGUAACGGCUUACCAAGGCGAUGAUCUGUAGCCGGCCUGAGAGGGCGGUCGGCCACACUGACACUGACAUACGGGUCAGACUCCUACGGGAGGCAGCAGUCGGGAAUUUUGGGCAAUGGGCGAAAGCCUGACCCAGCAACGCCGCGUGAAGGAUGAAAUCCUUCGGGAUGUAAACUUCGCAAGAACGGGAAGAAUAAGUAAGGGUUAAUAUCUCUUACGAUGACGGUACUGUUUGUAAGCUCCGGCUAACUCCGUGCCAGCAGCCGCGGUAAUACGGGGGGAGCAAGCGUUGUUCGGAUUUACUGGGCGUAAAGGGCGCGUAGGCGGCCACCGCAAGUCGACUGUGAAAUCUCCGGGCUUAACCCGGAAAGGUCAGCCGAUACUGCGGGGCUAGAGUGCAGAAGGGGCAACUGGAAUUCUCGGUGUAGCGGUGAAAUGCGUAGAUAUCGAGAGGGACACCUGCGGCGAAAGCGGGUUGCUGGGCUGACACUGACGCUGAAGCGCC